Arabidopsis lyrata subsp. lyrata is the source of this 798-nucleotide RNA transcript. RefSeq lists it as uncharacterized. The transcript is spliced from 5 exons. NCBI's taxonomy places the organism in Eukaryota, Viridiplantae, Streptophyta, Magnoliopsida, Brassicales, Brassicaceae. The record is from RefSeq and is a predicted model, not a curated record.
UGCAUUCGUGGACACAAUACACUCAAUUCACCGGGGAAACAGUUGAAAUGGUUCUUGCUGAUACAGCUGGUACUUUGAUUCAUGCUACUGUUAAGAAGCCACAAGUGAGCAAACUGCAAAGGUUCAUAGUUUCUGGAGAAUGGCGUAUUAUCGAGCAUUUUACGCUAACCAAAUCAACAGGAAAGUAUCGAGCCACAAAACAUGGUUUCAAGAUGUCCAUGAUGGAAAAAACUGUGAUAAGUCGCACUCCUGCUGUUUCUGAUGACAUUUAUGUGGAUCUGGCAAACUUUCCAGAUAUUUUGAAUGAAGCAGGAUUGAGUGAAAACAUCUUAAUUGAUGUACUUGGACAGGUAGUUAGUUUCAAUGAAAUGAAAAUUCAUGAUGUUAACAACAAGAUCACAAAGAGACUUGAGUGUGAACUCAGAGACACAAAGUAAGUUUAAUCAUGAAUCUACCUUUUCUAUAUAAUCUUACAUACAUCUAAACUUAAAACUUUCUCAAUAUUUUUGUUGUAUUGUAGUGAUGAAAGGCUGAAAUGCACUCUUUGGGGGAGAUUUGCUGAGGCAAUGUAUAAUGCAUGUCAAAAUGCAGGGACUGAGAGAGUGAUUUGCUUGCUUCGGCUUGCAAAGAUCAACUCAUUUAAAGGUGAAAGAGCUGUUUCAAAUUCAUUUGAUAUGUCUCUAUUGGAAAUCAAUGCUACCUACCCUGCUGUUCUUGAGUUUGUGGCCAAUUUACCACCUGAUGUUAUUCCACUGACUAUCGAAGACUCGAAGACAAAACAAGUGAAUGCAGAACAGA